GACGAACGCUGGCGGCGUGCUUAACACAUGCAAGUCACGGGGGCCCAGGGGCAACUCUGGGCAACCGGCGAACGGGUGCGUAACACGUGAGCAACCUGCCUAUCUGCGGGGGAUAGCCGGCCCAACGGCCGGGUAAUACCGCAUACGUUCACGAGGGGACAUCCCCUUGUGAGGAAAACUCCGGUGCAGAUAGAGGGGCUCGCGGCCUAUCAGCUAGUUGGUGAGGUAACGGCUCACCAAGGCGACGACGGGUAGCUGGUCUGAGAGGAUGGCCAGCCACAUUGGGACUGCGACACGGCCCAGACUCCUACGGGAGGCAGCAGUGGGGAAUAUUGCGCAAUGGACGAAAGUCUGACGCAGCGACGCCGCGUGUGGGAUGAAGCUCUUCGGGGGUGUAAACCACUGUUGCCCGGGAAGAAUCUCCUGAUUUAUCAGGAUUGACGGUACCGGGUGAGGAAGCACCGGCUAACUCUGUGCCAGCAGCCGC
This 487-nucleotide ribosomal RNA is filed under the name uncultured bacterium. Its description in RNAcentral is "bacterial SSU rRNA". It matches the Rfam family "Bacterial small subunit ribosomal RNA", at positions 28 to 518 of the family's 1533-position model. The record is from RNAcentral.